GAUGAACGCUGACAGAAUGCUUAACACAUGCAAGUCAACUUGAACUUCGGUUUGGGUGGCGGACGGGUGAGUAACGCGUAAAGAACUUGCCUCACAGUUAGGGACAACAUUUGGAAACGAAUGCUAAUACCUGAUAUUAUGAUUUUAGGGCAUCCUAGAAUUAUGAAAGCUAUAUGCGCUGUGAGAGAGCUUUGCGUCCCAUUAGCUAGUUGGAGAGGUAACGGCUCACCAAGGCGAUGAUGGGUAGCCGGCCUGAGAGGGUGAACGGCCACAAGGGGAAUGAGACACGGCCCUUACUCCUACGGGAGGAAGCAGUGGGGAAUAUUGGACAAUGGACCAAGAGUCUGAUCCAGCAAUUCUGUGUGCACGAUGAAGUUUUUCGGAAUGUAAAGUGCUUUCAGUUGGGAAGAAAAAAAUGACGAUACCAACAGAAGAAGUAACGGCUAAAUACGU
Molecule: ribosomal RNA, 453 nt
Filed under: uncultured bacterium
Lineage: Bacteria
Description: partial 16S ribosomal RNA
Rfam family: Bacterial small subunit ribosomal RNA
Source: RNAcentral